ACUCCUACGGGAGGCAGCAGUGGGGAAUAUUGCGCAAUGGGGGCAACCCUGACGCAGCCAUGCCGCGUGAGUGAAGAAGGCCUUAGGGUUGUAAAACUCUUUCAGUGGUGAAGAUAAUGACGGUAGCCACAGAAGAAGCCCCGGCCAACUCCGUGCCAGCAGCCGCGGUAAUACGGAGGGGGCUAGCGUUGUUCGGAAUUACUGGGCGUAAAGCGCGCGUAGGCGGACUGGUCAGUUGGGGGUGAAAUCCCGGGGCUUAACCUCGGAACUGCCUUCAAUACUGCCAGUCUUGAGUUCGAGAGAGGUAAGCGGAAUUCCUAGUGUAGAGGUGAAAUUCGUAGAUAUUAGGAAGAACACCGGUGGCGAAGGCGGCUUACUGGCUCGAUACUGACGCUGAGGCGCGAAAGCGUGGGGAGCAAACAGGAUUAGAUACCCUGGUAGGCGUAG
Molecule: ribosomal RNA, 447 nt
Filed under: uncultured bacterium
Lineage: Bacteria
Description: bacterial SSU rRNA
Rfam family: Bacterial small subunit ribosomal RNA
Source: RNAcentral